RNAcentral lists this ribosomal RNA (473 nucleotides) under uncultured bacterium. RNAcentral's name for it is "partial 16S ribosomal RNA". It matches the Rfam family "Bacterial small subunit ribosomal RNA", at positions 28 to 507 of the family's 1533-position model. The record is from RNAcentral.
GAUGAACGCUAGCGGCAGGCCUAAUACAUGCAAGUCGAACGGGGGGUCGCAAGACCACUAGUGGCGCACGGGUGCGUAACGCGUAACCAACCUGCCCCGAUCGGGGGGAUAGCCCGCCGAAAGGCGGAUUAAUACCGCAUAUACCCGCAGCCUGGCAUCAGGCAACGGGGAAAGAUUUAUUGGAUCGGGAUGGGGUUGCGUGACAUUAGCUAGUUGGCGGGGUAAGGGCCCACCAAGGCGACGAUGUCUAGGGGACCUGAGAGGGUGAUCCCCCACACUGGCACUGAGAUACGGGCCAGACUCCUACGGGAGGCAGCAGUAGGGAAUAUUGGGCAAUGGGCGAGAGCCUGAACCAGCCAUGCCGCGUGCCGGAUGAAGGCCUUCUGGGUUGUAAACGGCUUUUCUCAGGGAAGAAAAAGACCUUGCGAGGUACACUGACGGUACCUGAGGAAUAAGCACCGGCUAACUCCGUG